AGCAGCCGCGGUAAUUCCAGCUCCAAUAGCGUAUAUUAAAGUUGUUGCAGUUAAAAAGCUCGUAGUUGAAUUUCGGGAUCAGUACGCCGGUCGUGCCUUCGGUAUGCACUGGUGUCACUGGUUUCUCCCUUCUGAAGAACCAUCAUGCCAUUAAGUUGGUGUGGCGGGAAAUCAGGACUGUUACUUUGAAAAAAUUAGAGUGUUUAAAGCAGGCUCGCGCUUGAAUACAUUAGCAUGGAAUAAUGAAAUAGGACGUUUGACCCUAUUUUGUUGGUUUCUAGGAUCGACGUAAUGAUUAAUAGGGAUAGUUGGGGGCAUUAGUAUUCAAUUGUCAGAGGUGAAAUUCUUGGAUUUAUUGAAGACUAACUACUGCGAAAGCAUUUGCCAAGGAUGUUUUCAUUAAUCAAGAACGAAAGUUAGGGGAUCGAAGACGAUCAGAUACCGUCGUAGUCUUAACCAUAAACUAUGCCGACUAGGGAUCGGAUGAUGUUAAUUUUUUAAUGACUCAUUCGGCGCCUUACG
Molecule: ribosomal RNA, 522 nt
Filed under: uncultured Glomeromycotina
Lineage: Eukaryota; Fungi; Glomeromycota
Description: SSU rRNA
Rfam family: Eukaryotic small subunit ribosomal RNA
Source: RNAcentral